RNAcentral lists this ribosomal RNA (650 nucleotides) under uncultured marine bacterium. RNAcentral's name for it is "bacterial SSU rRNA". It matches the Rfam family "Bacterial small subunit ribosomal RNA", at positions 75 to 720 of the family's 1533-position model. The record is from RNAcentral.
GGAGCUUGCUCCUGCUGACGAGCGGCGGACGGGUGAGUAACGCGUGGGAAUCUGCCCAUAGGUGGGGGAUAGCCCGGAGAAAUCCGGAUUAAUACCGCAUAGUACCUGAGGGUUAAAGCAGGGGAUCUUCGGACCUUGCGCCAAUGGAUGAGCCCGCGUCAGAUUAGCUAGUUGGUGAGGUAAUGGCUCACCAAGGCGACGAUCUGUAACUGGCCUGAGAGGGUGGUCAGUCACACUGGAACUGAGACACGGUCCAGACUCCUACGGGAGGCAGCAGUGGGGAAUAUUGGGCAAUGGGCGCAAGCCUGACCCAGCCAUGCCGCGUGUGUGAAGAAGGCUUUCGGGUUGUAAAGCACUUUAAGUUGGGAGGAAGGUUCGAUAGUUAAUACCUGUCGGAAUUGACGUUACCAACAGAAUAAGCACCGGCUAAUUCCGUGCCAGCAGCCGCGGUAAUACGGAAGGUGCGAGCGUUAAUCGGAAUUACUGGGCGUAAAGCGCACGUAGGUGGUUUGUUAAGUUGGAUGUGAAAGCCCAGGGCUUAACCUUGGAAUUGCAUCCGAUACUGGCAGACUAGAGUACAGUAGAGGGAGGUGGAAUUUCCGGUGUAGCGGUGAAAUGCGUAGAGAUCGGAAGGAACACCAGUGGCGAAG